This 110-nucleotide non-coding RNA is filed under the name Rhodobacter sp. RNAcentral's name for it is "TPP sequence". It matches the Rfam family "TPP riboswitch aptamer (THI element)". From Rfam's summary of the family: Vitamin B(1) in its active form thiamin pyrophosphate (TPP) is an essential coenzyme that is synthesised by coupling of pyrimidine and thiazole moieties in bacteria. Lineage: Bacteria; Pseudomonadati; Pseudomonadota; Alphaproteobacteria; Rhodobacterales. RNAcentral also lists the same sequence under 1 other name. The record is from RNAcentral.
CGCGCUACCUCGGGGUGCCGAGGGGGCCCGCCCCCCGGCUGAGAUGCGCAAGCAAACCCGUUGAACCUGACCCGGUUAGAACCGGCGGAGGGAAGGUAUCCGGGCGCACU